Molecule: long non-coding RNA, 771 nt
Organism: Brassica napus (rape)
Lineage: Eukaryota; Viridiplantae; Streptophyta; Magnoliopsida; Brassicales; Brassicaceae
Exons: 2
Source: RefSeq, a predicted model, not a curated record
UGAAAUAUGAUAAAAUCCUGGAAUAAUAUCUAUAAUUUAUCUAUAGUAUCUGCUCCACUAAAAUAAAAUGAUAAUAUCCUGCCAUCCUGGAAAUUGAGUGAUGCUAAUAUAAUAGAAUAAACUUUGCCUAAAACUACCAAAACUUCAAGACCCAUAAGUGAAAUCUAAGUCUUCGAUGGCUUCUACUCUAACACAAACCACACAAACCAUAAAGUUUCCACCUCUUCAUUCUAUAUAAGCAUACGAAUGAGUCAUACUGAUCAUCAUUCAUUAGUAAAUUAAGAUACAAUACUAAGAUGGCAUCUUCUAAAGUAUCUUCCAUGCUUCUCUUUCUCCUCCUUCUCGUUCUUGUGUUUCCCCAUAUGGAUAAAGCCCUUGGUGAAGAAAGACAGCUCCACGAACUUAAAGGCACAGAGCAUCCCGAUCAACUGAUGACGGUUGGAAGGAGCCUUCUCUUUCGCAUCCCUCCAUGCCCACCGUCCUUAUGUAAGCCUCGUUCGAUAAGAAUUCCUCCCCGACUUCGUACACCUCCACCCCCUCCACGGCAUUGAAGGUUUCCAAAAGGCAAAAACACAUGGAUCCCAAAAUAUUUGGAUGAAAAUAUAUUUUCGUAAUUCCUCACUAUAAAUGUAAUUCUGAAAUUUUCUUUCAAAAUAAAGAGAUCAUGCCACUCGGGAUGAUGGUAUGAUGAUAUGUUGUUGUAAGUUUUAAGCUAUUGUAUGAUGAUAUAUUUGUUGAUAUUAUUCAACGUAAAUAAAUAUAGUUUAUGGA